UGACCGUUAACGAUCGGCUCGUGCUCAGGGAGUUUUGGCGGGAAGCGCGUGUCGUGUUUGCUCUCCUCAGCUCAGGAGAGAGAAGUCGAAGCAGAAUAACGCAGGUGGCUUCUUCACUGAAACUUCUGUGUACUGACACCUCAAUUGUUGAGGGAUACCCUUGAGGUGACUGCAGCUCCAUUUCCGGAAAAUGAGUAAAGAUAGAUGCAAGACAGUGCAGAAACCUGUGAGUGGAGAAAUAAAUCAUGCAUUAAACAAUCGGAAAAGGUUUCUGACACAGAGCUAGGACUGCCAGCUUCUGAAGUGAAACAUUUGGAGUCAAUGCUCAAUCCCAGGCAUUUCCAUCCACAACCUCUUUUCAAUGUCAGAAUGUAGCUCAUGGGCAAGUAAAAAGUGCUAUUGAGCAGGGUCAGAGUGCACAGACUUUCCUGAUCAAGGAAUGUGACUACCAAGCAAGCAUCAGCUCCAUCACCACCCUUGAGAAAUAAGUUACUCUUGAAAAAAUGAGACACAGCUACUGAGCAUGAUGCCAACACAGCAAAGGUCAAGGAUCUGUGCUCCAAAAGAACAACAGAGACAUAAAAAUGCACUUGUGUGUAGUUAUAGCCUGUUUGCACUACC
Molecule: non-coding RNA, 621 nt
Organism: Podarcis muralis (Common wall lizard)
Lineage: Eukaryota; Metazoa; Chordata; Lepidosauria; Squamata; Lacertidae
Source: RefSeq, a predicted model, not a curated record